This 647-nucleotide long non-coding RNA is filed under the name Salmo salar (Atlantic salmon). RNAcentral's name for it is "lncRNA (ENSSSAG00000108852.1)". Lineage: Eukaryota; Metazoa; Chordata; Actinopteri; Salmoniformes; Salmonidae. The record is from RNAcentral.
CACAUGAGCCAUGAGGUUAUGUAGUCAGAAUGGUAUCUACAAAGAUGCUUUUCUAUACCAUCUAUGUGAUAUCUACACAGGAGAGGACCUUGCCAUGUCCUAAUGUUGACCGGUUAAUUAGGAACCGCAAGAUGUAAGGAUUGGAGAGAAGGAGUGUCCAAAGUGGAGUAUAUACUGUAACCCACCAAUCCUGGUGGGAACAUGUCUUUGUCUGGACACAGCUGUGUCGACACUUUGGGAAGAAUUAAACUUGGUUAAGCUUCUCUAGUGUCCAAGUAAACUCAUCAUCAGCUGUAGUUGCACAUGGAUUUUGAACCUGGCUGUGGAGACAAUAAUGGAAGCCUUAAGCCUGAACCCAAACCCACCGAUCCUGAUCCUACCGAGGGUGGCAGCGGUGGCCCAGCGAGUCCUAAACCAAGAAAGAUUGUAGCCUUCACAGCAAAACUUAACAUCUGUGACAGCUACCCAACUCACAGAGGAAUCCUGAAGUUUACCAACAUCCUGGUCAAUGAGGGAGAUGGCUACAGUACCGACACAGGAAAAUUCACCUGCUCGCUAGCUGGCUUGUACCACUUGACACUGUACAUGUCCACCUACGGGCGCGCCCAGUGUAGUAUCUUAAAGAAUGGCCAGCGGGUUGUCUCAGC